RNAcentral lists this long non-coding RNA (325 nucleotides) under Lathyrus oleraceus (garden pea). Its description in RNAcentral is "Pisum sativum (pea) long non-coding RNA (PSAT_LNC035943)". Lineage: Eukaryota; Viridiplantae; Streptophyta; Magnoliopsida; Fabales; Fabaceae. The record is from RNAcentral.
AUGAAUUGAAUUUGAUUUUAGGUGUGAAAGAUGUCUUUUAUUUUUGUUUGAGUUUUUGGUUAGACUUAUGUACGAGUAUGACAAACUUGUAAAUGAAAAUUUAUUAUUUAUUAGAAUUAAAAAAGAAAGAAAUAGUUUUGUAUAUUAAAAAGACUUAGAUUUAAAAUAGUAGAAUAAAGAGGAACAAUUUUUUGUGUUUUUAAUUUAUCAAGAAUAAAAAAAUCUUUUAUAUUUUUGAGUUUUAAUGAACUAAAGAGAGUAUUUUUUUGGUUUUUUUAAUUAAAAAAAAGGAAGAUUAUUUUUAUAUUUUUUUAUUUGAUUAAAA